ACACAAAGUGUAAAAUGCCAUUUUCAAUAGACCGGAAACGAUAGAGCCGCUUUUCCCUGAACGUAGAAGCUAAAGUGCAAAGGGCCCAUUGUCAAGAAAAUCCCACUUCCCCAUGGACCUUACCACAGGGGCCACUUUUCAUUGGCUGAUGCCCAUUCUACGUGGUCAUGUGCGUGGCCGUCUCACAAACACACGCUUCCCGUUAGAUAAGUACAGCAUAUUGGCAGUACUGAUACGACUUCUACACCUUGAAGCCUGUCUGCUACAUACACAGUCUUACCUUAGCUAAAGAGAUCAAUAUGCAAUGUGUACUGUAUCUGACAUACACUAAAAAUUUUAUUUUAGGAGAAAAGGCUUUGGACUAAACUGUUACUCAUGUUAGCCACUCUAUCACCAACAGUGAUGUCGGACAACCUUUUUCCAGUAACGAGUAAUCUAACGCGUUGCUAUUUCAAAUCCAGUAGUCAGACUACAGUUACUUAUCGAAAUCACUUUGCGUUACUGUGCGUUACUAUCUUCU
Molecule: long non-coding RNA, 520 nt
Organism: Xiphophorus hellerii (green swordtail)
Lineage: Eukaryota; Metazoa; Chordata; Actinopteri; Cyprinodontiformes; Poeciliidae
Exons: 2
Source: RefSeq, a predicted model, not a curated record